Molecule: unclassified non-coding RNA, 250 nt
Filed under: Lecanorales sp.
Lineage: Eukaryota; Fungi; Ascomycota; Lecanoromycetes; Lecanorales
Description: partial contains 5.8S ribosomal RNA, internal transcribed spacer 2, and large subunit ribosomal RNA
Source: RNAcentral
CGCACAUUGCGCCCCUUGGAAUUCCACUGGGCAUGCCUGUUCGAGCGUCAUUUUCCAUCUUCAAGCCUUGCUUGGUGUUGGGCGUUUGUCUCUGUUCUGGCAGCAGACUCGUCUUGAAUUUAUUGGUAGCAGUCUGACCAGCUUUCUACGCAGCACUUUGCGUUCCCGAGAAGGGCUUCUGUAGGCAUGCAUCCAUUAAGAUUGUUAAAGGUUUGACCUCGAAUCAGGUAGGACUACCCGCUGAACUUAA